UCCGAGUUGACCCCGGCAGUCUCCUAAGAGUCCCCACCACUACGUGCUGGCAACAUGGGACAGGGGUUGCGCUCGUUGCGGGACUUAACCCAACAUCUCACGACACGAGCUGACGACAACCAUGCACCACCUGUUUACGAGUGUCCAAAGAGUUGACCAUUUCUGGCCCGUUCUCGUAUAUGUCAAGCCUUGGUAAGGUUCUUCGCGUUGCGUCGAAUUAAACCACAUACUCCACCGCUUGUGCGGGCCCCCGUCAAUUCCUUUGAGUUUCAGUCUUGCGACCGUACUCCCCAGGCGGCGAACUUAACGCGUUAGCUUCGAUACUGCGUGCCAAAUUGCACCCAACAUCCAGUUCGCAUCGUUUAGGGCGUGGACUAC
RNAcentral lists this unclassified non-coding RNA (378 nucleotides) under uncultured bacterium. Its description in RNAcentral is "contains 16S-23S intergenic spacer region". The record is from RNAcentral.